AUUGAACGCUAGCGGGAUGCUUUACACAUGCAAGUCGAACGAGUGGCGGACGGGUGAGUAAUAUAUCGGAACGGGCCCAGUAGCGGGGGAUAAAUACUGGAAAGAGUGGCUAAUACCGCAUACUAAUGGAGCGGCCGAUAGCGGAUGGUAUAGUUGGUGGGGUAAAGGCCCACCAAGGCAACGAUCCGUAGCUGGUUUGAGAGGAGGACCAGCCACACUGGGACUUAGACACGGCCCAGAUUCCUACGGGAGGCAGCAGUGGGGAAUUUUGGACAAUGGGGUAAACCCUGAUCCAGCCAUCCCGCGUGUAUGAGAAGGCCUUCGGGUUGUAAAGUACUUUUGGCAGAGAAGCGGUAUCUGCAGAAUAAGCACCGGCUAACUACGUGCCAGCAGCCGCGGUAAUUC
This 405-nucleotide ribosomal RNA is filed under the name uncultured bacterium. RNAcentral's name for it is "partial 16S ribosomal RNA". It matches the Rfam family "Bacterial small subunit ribosomal RNA", at positions 30 to 526 of the family's 1533-position model. The record is from RNAcentral.